Long non-coding RNA from Beta vulgaris subsp. vulgaris (sugar beet), 2554 nucleotides. RefSeq lists it as uncharacterized. Lineage: Eukaryota; Viridiplantae; Streptophyta; Magnoliopsida; Caryophyllales; Amaranthaceae. The transcript has 2 exons. The record is from RefSeq and is a predicted model, not a curated record.
CUUAUUUUUGAUUCUAAAAAAUCGUUUUACUCAUGGCAUUGCUUAUUGUUGAUUUUGGAAAAUACAUUUAUGCCGAGUAUUGUUUUCGCAUUUGACAGCUCUAUGUUCUGUCGACAUUUUGCAUUCAACCUAGUUUGCUAAACUUAUAUGGUCCAUCCGACAUAGCUAUCCUCUUGCCCUCACGUUGUCCAUUGAUUAUGCAGAUAGCUUAUAAGCGGGUUUGAAGAAGGGGUAGGCAGUAGGGAGUAGGAGUGAUAAGGAGGAACCAAAAUGGCUAAAUUUCUUAAACUGAAGAAUCCAAAUCUCUCGUAUAAUAUUGAUUGCCAUCCUUGUUGAUACAUGAAGGGGAAAAAACCCAUCUAUUUUGAAUCCUGCAUAUACUAAAAAAUUAUAGAUUAAGCUUCAAUAAUGUUACCUUUUGUGCUAAUGAAGUGUUUAGUAUCGUAAUCCAAUUGCAGAUCCCUAUGCGUUUGCUAUCCCAUGCGAAGCUAAAAGACUAUCCAUCCUUUGAUGCUUCUUUGUUGAAGAUUCUCUUUUGGUGAAGACACCUAGACAAAGAGAAUCUUCCUUUUGUUCCCUUCUAGUUCCCUACCUCUUGUAUAUCUUGACAUACAUUGAUCUUUGCUUUUUCAACAAAUUCAAACGGACACCUUUAAUUCUUUCUCCUCUAUUGCACAUUUGCACUGCUAAGCAUCAGUCUUCCCACCAUUAGGCUGGUACCACAUAAUUUUUCUGUAGAGCAAUGCUAUAUGCUUUUUCUUAUUGCUUUUCUAGUGAAUGGAGAAGUCCCUACUUCGCCUCUAGGAAAUAGAAGGGAGAUGAGGUUAGGUCUGUUUGCAGCCUUAAUUGGACUGUAUAUUUAGGAAAGCUGUGCCCUUGUAACUGACAAAAGUCGGUUUAUAAAAUGGUCGAAAGAUUUACCAUGUUUGCACAGCUUUUCUGAGCCACCCUUAUUAUUAAUGCCAAAAUGUUUGUUAAUCUACUUGAAUAUACAUGCUAACAUGUCAGCUAUACUAAAUCUUGUAACUUCUUCACGUACUUACAGUGUAUAUCCCACUUGUUUCAGUACUUGGUAUACUUUGCUAACAUGUUUUGAGAAUAUCAAAUUAAUGCAACUACUUUGUCAAGUUCUGGAAACCAGGCAACUCCAGCAAUUUAAGCACAGUUUUCUUGGGUGUUUAAGAUAGAACUGAAUUAGUUAGAUUAACUAAACCCUGAGUCUCCAUAAAUCACUUGGCUCUCUGAUAUUAUUUCAAUUGAUUGGAGACGUUACAAUGUACAGUGUGAUUUAGCAAUGGGUAAUUUCAUGAUAAUAACGGCCCUUUCAUCUUCUGUAUAGGAGCUUGAGACAUGAUUUUGGUUCAUCUGUUUUUCUGUAUGGACUAUGAUGCUAUUGCCUUUGGUCAGACUAUAUUGUUAUAGAAGCUUCUACAAACUAUUCUAACAUAAGAUUUGAUCACAUUUUUAAAUAGGCCAUCAUUAAUUGUUUAUGAGGCGAACAUACAGGUGCCAUAUCUUGCUGAUAAUUCUUGAUCAGCUGGCUUCAAAUUGAUGGCGGGAUACAUAAUCUCAUACUGCAUUGGCGACAGUUAUUAGUGAAAAACCCUUAAGAGCUGUUUGAGACUUUUAAAUUGUCUUUUUAAGUCACUUAUUGCAGAACUUGAAGUGGACAGUUGUUGAUGCUUUUAAGUCUUCAUGUAAUAUCGUAGAUGUGGUAGUGAAAUUGAGUCCGGAGAAAGUGCAUGUCUCAAAAUUGUACUGGUUAAAGCCUAUGGACAUAUUAUGUGCUUGCUCAUGUUGAUUGAACUACAUCGUUGAAGAGUUUUGCUCUCACCAUUUCUUAUAAUUUUAGGCUCUUUUGACAUAAAAUGUUAUUUUUUUAGUGUUUAUGGUUUAUUGUGGGCUAAUAUAGAGUGGGAUGUAAGUGGUCUUUUUAUAAGGCAGAAUCCUGACUUUCACUUUGUAUGUAGCUUGGCCUACUCCUUCGAUGUGUGGCUUAUAUGCUCGUCUGCUUUGUAGGAGCAAAGUGACCUUCGCAGAGUUGGAACUUCAAAUCUGUCGAGUUAAACUGAAUUCAACAGCGUCUUGUUUGCAGUACACUAUUGCUGUGGAAGUGGAACACACUGUAGAAAAGCUCAAAAAGCACUUUCGAAGGGGUCCCCUCCCCUGCCCUCUUGAUGUGUCUAGCUACUGCCAUUGCUGUCUGCCUGAGCUAACUCAACCACACCAAAUUGACAAUACAUUUUCUUUCAGAUGCCCUAUUUCUCUCAAAGGACUUGCACGUUAUUGGUUUGGUCAAAAUGACCAAGUCUGUUACUUAAAGAGUUGGAAUAUUUUUGGCCAACAUAAUGGUUUUGCAGGAGAGGACAAGGCUUCAACUGCCAAUUCUAGUAUCAUGAUGUUAAUGACCAGACUUCUGAUCUUUUAUUGUCUGUUAGUACCGUUUACGAUUUACUAACAUUGUGUACUUCAUACAAAGUAGUUUACUUCAUUUGGGACAUUAACCUAUAAAUACGGGCAAAUUUCUUGUUAUGUAGAAGUAGUAAAUAGACUA